Molecule: long non-coding RNA, 10204 nt
Organism: Lytechinus pictus (painted urchin)
Lineage: Eukaryota; Metazoa; Echinodermata; Echinoidea; Temnopleuroida; Toxopneustidae
Exons: 4
Source: RefSeq, a predicted model, not a curated record
UGACAUCACACUUUGGUACUCUAUUCCACUUCAGAACUGAAAACUUCAAUUUAUCUUCAAUUUAUCUCUGAUUUAUAUUUCUCUCUACAGCAAGCACAGAGUGCUCUCCACAAGAGUAAAGCCCUGGAAUCAAGGGUUCAUCUGGCAGAAGCAGCCCAACUGGAAGCAGGGAAUAUGGAGUAAGAUUAGGAAGAAUUUGUUGUCAUGCUUGAUGAUGAACUCGACAAACUCGGGUCAGUGGUCAAGAGAAUGCCCUGCAAUAUGCCACCAGAACCAGUGAUGGCAUUUAGUGCCAUUCACGAGAACAGAUCCCUGGAAUCAAGGGUUCAUCUGACAGAAGUGGCCCAAUUGGAAGCAAGGAAUAUGGAGCUCGAUUAGGAAGAAUUUAUUGUCAUGCUGUAGGAUGAACUCAACAAACUCGGUCAAGGUCAAGAAAAUACCCAGCAAUAUGCCACUUGAACCAGUGCUGUAUACAGAGGGUAUAGAGUGCUAUUCAUGAGAGCAAAGCCCUGGAAUCGAGGGUUCUACUAGCAGAAGUGGCCCAACGGGAAGUGCUGUAUGUGGAGGUAGAUGUUGGUGCAUGCUGGAGGAUGAACUCGACAAACUGGGGUCAGUGGUCCAGAAAAUGCGCUGCAAUAUGCCACCACAACCAUUGUCAUGACACUCAAUGUGCGUCAUGGAUACAACCCCUAUCUGGUGUCUACCAUCUUCCAAGCAUAAAUAAGAGAGACAGUCUAUCUGAGACGAGGACAUAACACCAAUCUUAGAAUCAUUUUCUACAGGGAGUGUCUGGUUUGAAAAGUUAUUGGUCUUUGUGUGAUCAUGUAGAUCAUAUUAAUUGAACAAAUCAUCACUUUAAACUUUAUGUUAAUAUAUCCAAAACUCUUUAUCACCAAAUAUGGGAUUCUUUAUUUAUUUUUCCUCAUGAACCCAUCAUUUUUUUAAUGUGUUUUAUAACUUUUGUGUAGCCCGAAGCAGCAGGUCCAAGCUAUUAUCUUUUUUGCUGAAAUUUCAUUGUAUCUGAAUUAUCUGUUGUUUCAUUAUGUAGGGCAUGGUUAUAGGAGUAAAAAGUAAUUUGUUCAUAAGGUUGGAAAUGAUUUUUCAAGUGUUUGGCUUAGAAUUAAUUCUAACUUGGCCGGGGCAUAUUGGGAGAUCAUAUGGGUGAAAGGCUUCCCUGAAAUUUUAGUCGUCAACCUGAUAAUUGGCAUGCACGUUGCCUUGGACCUAAUCUACAAAAUUGUAUGAUGUUUAUUUUAUGAAAAUUGCUAUUAACUAUGUUAAUUCAUGCACAAGUGGUAUGAAAAAUCAUACCUUUUUGCUCCCAAAAGUAAAGCUACAAAUGACCUAAGUUUUGGUGUAGAAACUCUGUGUUGUUCUCCGCAAAUGCUCUUGAAAAAAAAGUUGAUACCAGAUCAAUUUCUUAUGUAUUGGAUUGUUUCUGCAAUUUUUGUCUCACCUGCAUAGCAGAGUGAGACUAUAGGCGCCGCUUUUCCGACGGCCACGGCGGCGUCAACACCAAAUCUUAACCUGAGGUUAAGUUUUUGAAAUGACAGCAUAACUUAGAAAGUGUAUGGACCUAGUUCAUGAAACUUGGCCAUAAGGUUAAUCAAGUAUUACUGAACAUCCUGCCUGAGUUUCAUGUCACAUGACCAAGGUCAAAGGUCAUUUAGGGUCAAUGAACUUAGACCAUGUUGGGGGAAUCAACAUCAAAAUCUUAACCUAAGGUUAAGUUUUUGAAAUGUCAUCAUAACUUAGAAAAUAUAUGGACCUAGUUCAUGAAACUUAUACAUAAGGUUAAUCAAGUAUCACUGAACAUCCUGCGUGAGUUUCACAUCACAUGACCAAGGUCAAAGGUCAUUUAGGGUCAAUGAACUUUGGCCGAAUUGGGGGUAUCUGUUGAAUUACCAUCAUAACUUUGAAUGUUUAUGGAUCUGAUUCAUGAAACUUGGACAUAAUAGUAAUCAAGUAUUACUGAACAUCCUGUGCAAGUUUCAGGUCACAUGAUCAAGGUCAAAGGUCAUUUAGGGUCAAUGAACUUUGGCCAAAUUGGGGUAUUUGUUGAAUUACAGCUAUAAAUUUGAAAGUGUGUUGGUCUAGUUCAUAAAACUUGGACAUAAUAGUAAUCAAGUAUCACUGAACAUCCUGUGCGAGUUUCAGGUCACAUGAUCAGGUCAAAGGUCAUGUAAGGUCAAAGAACUUUGGCCACGUUGGGGGUAUUUGUUGAAUUGCCAUCAUAUCUCUAUAAGUGUAUUGGUCUAGUUCAUAAAACGUGGAAAUAAGAGUAACCAAGUAUCACUGAACAUCUUGUGCGAGUUAUAGUAGUUUUCAAAAUCAGCACUGCUGCUAUAUUGAAUCGUGUGAUGCAGGUGAGACGGCCAGAGGCAUUCCACUUGUUUAAUGUAUUUCUUUUAUUUUACCUUUGCUUUUCAUUGUAUUUUAGAUGAAAUUUGUUGGUGAUCAAUUAAUUUGAAUCAAUGAGAGUAAAUAUACUCAUUUAUCAAUAUUUGGCUGAAAACACAAUUUGCACUAAAAUUGUACACAAAAUCACGUUUUAGAGCAAUUUUUGGUCCGACAUGCUUGUACAAAUUAUGCAUAUCUUCGGAACUGCAUUCCUGGAUGCUACAAAUUUGGUCUUAAAAUAUGCGAAGAAAGUCACAAAACAACAUGGUGAGAGUUUUUCAUGUUAAAAAAAUAUUGCAUGAGCGUCAAGCAGGCCCUUCAAGCCCCCCUUCCCCCCCCCCCACCCCGGCCUAGUUAGGAAAGUUUUUCUUGAUGAAGUAUUUAUUUAUUUAUGUGUUGACAAUUCUGCAAAAGUGGAUCCGAAGGUUUUCCAGAGUUUUUGUCUAUUGUGUUUUAUCUCUGGUUUUUUACCCUGGAUCUACUUGUCGUAGAAUUAUUCUCCCCCCCCCCUUUCGUGCACAUUACUAUUAUACCUAUUUUCCCAUUAAUUUCAUUAAUAUUUAUUUUCAUCAUACAUUAAUUACACCCUAAAAAUUUAGAAUAUUUUGUAAGGUGUUAAUUUCGAGAUAAAGGUUUUUCUAUGCUCAGAAUAUGAUGUAUUUUGUGUUAUUAAUCUUUAACCUAUUUGUUUAGGCCUAUCAGCAACAAUCAAAGUUUGUUAUUACCAUAUUCAAUUUAUAUCUGUUAAUUUCUAGCAUUAAUAUCUGCAUACGUGAUAAAAUAUAUUUCAGAAGAAUGAAUGAUGUCAUUAGCAUAAAUAAUAAACAAAGGACCUUGUAUAGUUAUUUGUGGGACGCCAAAUGUUAUAGACAAAAUAUCAGAUUAAUCAUCAUUAAAAAGUAGCAAAAUAAACCCCUCACAAAAAGUUCCAAAACUCAAGUUUGAUGGAUGAUUAUUUGUUUAAUACUGAACCACUAAAAAUGAAAAUGGUGUUAUUGGUUAGCCUCUUUGCAAUGAGGUGCCAUUUGUUUUUAUUCUAUUAUGAAAUUUGCAGCCACCCUUUAAAGGUCAAGUCCACCCCAGAAAUAUGUUGAUUUUAAUCAAUAGAAAAAUAUCUACCAAGCAUAACAUUGAAAGAUUUUUCAAAAACGGAUGUAAAAUAAGGAAGUUAUAUUUUUAAGUUUCACUUAUUUUUCACAAAACAAUAUUGAAAUAACUUGUUCUCGCGAUAAUUCAAGAACUGUUUGAGAGAUCAACUCUAGUCUUUCAAUCUGUGUUUUCCUUCAGCAAGAUGUUUACCCUCAUUUUGCCGCACUCAACCCAGGUUUAGAUGAAAAACCAUGGUAGAUAGGUGCACUCAGUGUUACUGGGUUAGAAAGUGCUCUCAUAUUUUUGGAUAUUUUAGUUUCUCUUUCUUAAGUAUAUUAAACUAGCAAAACAAUUCUGGGAAGUGUUCACAAAAAAAAAAUCUCUGACCAAAGUCAUGGCGAAAGCAUUAACAUGCUCAUGAUCUUUGAUAUACAGUCUGAUCAAUUCAUUUGCAUUAGAGCACGUCCUUUGAGAGUGAUUCAAUCAAUAUAUUGAUCUGUUAUUUUCCACACGCAAGUAGCUAUUUAAUCACAUUUGAUUUUUUGUGAAACACUUCUUUAAUUUGUCUCUUAAGGCCUCCGCACACCUUUCGAGUGGUCCACAAUCUGAUUUUGGAGCAAAUUACAUUAUGCUAAUUUUCUGUAAUGUGAUUGACAAAUAUCUUUUCAUUCGAGGCUUAAAUUAACUGAGAAUACUAAAUAAUUUUAUUUGAUUUCAAGCCUUUAUUUUUUUUUUGUGAAGGCCAAAUUGGUUUUAAAUUGUAGGAAAUUGUAUGAUUGCUAUGACAUUUCACUUUUAUUCAAAUGAUGAUGCUUGCAUAGUCACAGAUUUCAAUGAGUAUUCAUUGGAUGAUUUAGAAUUUUACACAGGAAGAUGUCACAUGUCUCUAUGUUCAAAACGUUUUACUCCUUAAUUGGUUCGCAGACCAAUCAAAAGGUGUGCGGUGACCUUUACAUCAAUGUCAGAUAGCUUGGACCUGUCCUACAGUGUACAAUUGUCUGUGCUAUAUACAAUACUUGUUUUGUAUUCAUGAAGUUUAUUUUUCUUUUUUGAAAAAAUAAAUUGUAAGACCAGCAGCCCGGAAGAUUCAUUCAAGUUGCAGGACCAUAGCAGUUGACCUUGAUUGAUGGUGGUAGGCCCUAAACCUUGCAAACAUGGCUUCCUGUCUAGUUUGAGCUGGGAUCUUCCUGCCAAAAUCACACAAUUAGUGACAUCACUACCAAGAGAUAUAUUCUUCAGUGUGCAGAGAAGGGCACUGGACACAGUUGUGCAUGGUAUACAACUUACCACAAUGUAAGUGUUUUAAUCAUGAUUUCAAUGAUAUUUUGUGUAGCCGAAAGUAUGUGAGACAAUGCAAUCAAUUUUCCAGUAAUUAUGUACUGAGGGCAUCAGGGCAAUAACCUUUGUGAAAAUAUUUGGCGGCAAUUUUCCCCACAUCACCUUAACUGGUAUUUCUUCCCAUUUCUGUAUCCUUUUGUUGGCUGUGCCGGAUCAAACCAUUGAUUAUAGUCUUUCUUUAUAUACCUCCCAGUACUAUUUGUUCUAGAUGUUGCUCGAACUUUAUCUUUGUUUCACAUUGUUGCAACAUGAUAUCUGCCAUGACUGAUUUAAUAAUGUGCUAAGAAGAUAAACAAUUUUUAUUAGAAAUUUAUAUAUACAGACAUUGAUCUUUUUUUUUUUUAUUGCAGAGCAAUGUGAAUUAUUUUGCAAUAUAUAUAUUCUCCUUUUCUGUACGUGUUCUUUUUUUGGCCAGACUGAUUUGAAUUAAUAUAUCAAACUUUAUCGCGGUCAUUUCACCAUGUACGUACAUAAACCCCAUGUUUGUGCCGAGUGCGUAUCCAUCGUGUAUUCACAGAAUGUGAAGAGAUAAUGUGGACUGCACGAAUGUUAAGAUAUGUGAUGAUAAGGUAGAUUCUCAAUGUAGGUUUGUCUGCCCAAAUCUUCAACUUCGGAUAUAAACUUUUCCACCCAUUUUUAUGAGGGUUGUGCACUUCAAUGAUUUUUCCACAAUGUGUAAAAAAAAAAUGCUUCUUCAAUCAGAGCAAUAUAUGUAAGUCUGGAAUCUUGUUUCAAAAUUGCAAUGUCAAAUUUUGAUUUCUAGAGCCUUGCCAGUGUAGUGUUUCAAGUUGACCCAUGUUGAUAUUUGAAUUAUUGAUGGAGCAGUUUAGCCAAUAUGGCUUUGGAGCUUAGUGGCAUUGAUCAAGAUCGAUCAAAAACUGGCUUUCACUCUAAAUCGAUGCAGGUAACCAUUUGUUCUUCACAAAGUGAAGAGAGAGGAACUGGCGAAGUAUGUUCGAAGAGAGUGCUGCUGACUUCCGGAAAUUUGUUUCAGUCGCAUGUGACAUCUUUAUAUUUGGUGUUUGGAAUCUGGUAAUGUUGCGAUAAUCUUCAAGUACUGUCUGACCACAAGGAAAGGUGUUACUUUCAGCCUACGCAUGAUAUCCAGAGCUCUUCAAAACCUCGUGCAAGUCACACACUUCUGUGACUCACAAAUGCUGAUAUCUUGUGAGAGGGUUGGCCUCUUUGGGGUGGCAUUACAGGAAUUCUCAGUGGAUCUAGUUCCAGUUAGUCAUUUUUGUCUCGCCUGCAUAGCAGAGCGAGACUAUAGGCGCCGCUUUUCCGACGGCGGCGGCGGCGGCGGCGUCAACAUCAAAUCUUAACCUAAGGUUAAGUUUUUGAAAUGACAUCAUAACUUAGAAAGUAUAUGGACCUAGUUCAUGAAACUUGGACAUAAGGUUAAUCAAGUAUUACUGAACAUCCUGCCUGAGUUUCAGGUCACAUGACCAAGGUCAAAGGUCAUUUAGGGUCAAUGGACUUAGACCAUGUUGGGAAAAUUAUUUUCAAAAUCUUAACCGAAGGUUAAGUUUUUUAAACGACAUCAUAACUUAGAAAGUAUAUGGACCUAGUUCAUGAAACUUGGACAUAAGGUUAAUCAAGUAUAAGUGAACAUCCUGCUCGAGUUUCAGGUCACGUGACCAAGGUCAAAGGUCAUUUAGGGUCAAUGAACUUUGGUCAAGUUGGGGGUAUUUGUUGAAUUACUAUCAUAACUUUGAAAAUUUAUGGAUCUAGUCCAUGAAACUUGGACAUAAGGUUAAUCAAGUAUUAGUAAACAUCCUGCCUGAGUUUUAGGUCACAUGACCAAGGUCAAAGGUCAUUUAGGGUCAAUGAACUUUGGCCAAGUUGGGGGUAUUUGUUGAAUUACUAUCAUAACUUUGAAAAUUUAUGGAUUUAGUUCAUGAAACUUGGACAUUAGGUUAAUCAAGUACCACUGAAUAUCCUGUGCGAGUUUCUGGUCACAUGACCAUGGUCAAUGGUCAUUUAAGGUCAAUGAACUUUGGCCGUGUUGGGGGUAUAUGUUAAAUUACCAUCCUAACUCUGAAUGUUUAUGGAUCUAGUUCAUAAAACUUGGACAUAAGAGUAAUCAAGUAUCACUCAACAUCCUGUACGAGUUUCAGGUCACAUGACCAUGGUCAAAGGUCAUUAAAGGUCAAUGAACUUUGGCCGUGUUGGGGGUAUUUGUUGAAUUACCAUCCUAACUGAAGUUUAUGGAUCUAGUUCAUAAAACUUGGGAUAUAAGAGUAAUCAAGCAUCACUGAACAUCCCCUGUGAGUUUCAGGUCACAAAACCAAGUCAAAGGUCAGUUAAGGUCAAUAAACUUAGGCCAUGUUGGGGUAAUUGUUGAAUUGCCAUCAUAACUUUGAAAGUUUAUGGAUAGAGUGAAUGAAAUGUGGACAUGGGUGUAGUUGACAGUCUUAAGUCUCCGUUCAAAUGCCAUUUAUGGUCAAUGAACGUGGUAUUAUGUCAUUAUAUGAAUGAUGUUUUUGUGAAUGAUUAUUUUAUAGUAGUUUACAAAGUUAGCACUGCUGCUAUAUUAAAUUGCGUAAUGCAGGCGAGACUGCCAGAGGCGUUCCACUUGUUGUCUUUUACAGCCAUUUGAUAUUUUCCUGUGUUUGUUGGAUUUUCCAGAUUUAUUUGACUCUGAUGACAUGAAAGGCAAUGUGAAGUCUUGGUAUUACAGAGUCAGAGUCAAUCUUGUCACUAAAAGAGAAGCUACAUACAUCUGAUACAUUUUCUGGCUUAGUAAUUCUAGUUAUUAAACUACAACGCAUUUGUGUGAAUUCUAAUAAGGCAGAUUCUUUGUCACCAUUCAUAUUCUGUGUCGGGGAGGAAACGCUCUUUCUUUGGAAUUAAUUUUGAAUAGAUUUCCUGUGCAGAGGAAACUUCAUCAUGUUCAGGUAUCCAUUAAAGUGAGGGGACGUUCCCGUGUUUAACCCUAUAUAGCCCAGGCUAAUUUGAAAUUACAUAGACGGGGGGGGGGGGGGCAUUCUUACCCCCCCCCCCCACCCCUGAUCUUAGUUUUUGAUUUGGAUACUAUCUCUCGUUUUUUUAAUGAAAGUUGUCGAUGUCACUAUUUCAAUCAUAAAUACAUGAAUUCAGUAGUUCGUAAUCAGUAUCUAUAGGUAAAAAUAAUGAUGCAUGUAUGAAUUUUGGCUACAUACAGAAUUUUCAUUGGAUUUGUCAAAUGAAAUCACAUUUUUGAGCAAUUUUGGUCUGACAUGCGCUUACAAAAUGUUGCCUAACUUUGUAACUGCAUACCAUUGCAUUGUAAAUUUGGUCUAUAAAGUUGCGUGAGAAAAAUUUCAUGACAAUUUGUGGCCUGAUCUUUACAAAUAUAUCACAAAAAAUGUUGUGGAGGCUAAAAAAAAGCCCCCCCCCCCCCCCCCGGGCUAUAUAGGGUUAAGGUAUGCAUGUACCUGCUUACCAUUGCCAGUUAUAUUGGGAGGUCCUCCACUCAAUGAUUCAAUUUGUUUACGAUCUUGUGACAUCUAAAAAUCUUUCAUGGGAACUUGUGAGUCUUUCACUUCUUUGCAAUGAUCAUACAAUGCAUAAUUUUCAGACCAUCAUAAAAUUAUUUCCUUCUUGCUUAUCGUUCCUUUGAUCAAGUCAGAGGAGUUUCUCAGCCACGUUCUGAAGCUUGACAUGAAGUGAUGCUAGGCUGUUCAUUCAUCCAUCUUCCAGUCUGAUGGUAGGGCAGUGAUUGGUAGAUUUUUCCAACAGUGUCCCUUUGGCUAAAGAAAUGGUUUCCUAUAUCCAGUGUGGAAUAAGUUUGGGAAAUUUUGUUGGGUGCUGUCUGUCAGAUUUGACAUUGCAUGAUUUGGUAGAUUGUUCCAACGCUCCAUGACCCUUUGGCUAAAGAAGUGGUUUCCUCCAUCCAGUCUGGAACAAGUUUGGACAAUUUUAUUGGAUGCUGUCUGUGAGAGUUGUCAUUGGUUCUUGAUGACCAUUAAGCUGAAGAAAUGGUUUCUUAUAUCCAUGGAAAGAUUUUUUUAAAUUUGAUUGGUUGCCGUCUCUGAAAUUUGACAUUUUGCUUCACUACUAGGGUUCAUGCAUUGUAUUGCAAUGAUUGAUGGGGGAUUAUAAACCAUUGUGGAAUGUGAAGUGUACUCCCUCAGGACAAGCCUACUUUGAGGUUCCAACCCAUUAGAUCUAUCUUUCAUUGUCGGUGCCUCGCCUGAUCUCUCAGAGUUCAUGGUUAUGUGAUGGAUAUGCAAGCCAACAUUUGGUUCUUGUAUGAUGGUGAAUGAAUAAAUUAGCUAUUUUUAUCAAAAUGCAGUGUUCACUGAAAAUUCAUAGAACCGCGAUUGCAUCAUGAACAGAAAAGGAUAUAUUUAUUUGCAAAUCAUAAUAUAUUCCAUUUGCUCUUUUGAAAAGAAAAGCUCCCCUUUGAAAAUAAAUCUAUUGGCUAGGUUUUUUUAAUGAGAUGAUAUAAAUUAAAUUGUUUAAUAAAAAUAUGAAAUGUGAAAAAUGAUUAGUGAUAAUACUAAAAAAUAUUAAUUUGAACAUUAGAACAUUGUAGUGUCAGUCAUGGAUAGUUAAUGUUGAAAGGAUGUGAAAUGAUUGAAAAUGGGCAGAUACAGGAGCAUAUCAUGACAAGUUUUGUUAGUGAUAAUCACUAAUUUGCACUUAGCAUGAUUUUUUUGUGAAAAUCACUGACAAUUCUUCAUGAAAUGCUUCCCUGGAUGGAUAGUACAGGGAGGUAUGGGAAGAGAGCACAAUUAGUGGAGGGGAAGGGGGAAGGUGAGAUGGUUGUAAGGAAGGGAGCAGAUUAAAGGAAAUAAGGUGGUGGUUUUGUUCAAGGGUGAAUGAAAAGACUACAAAGGAGAUUAAUAGAUUGAUUCUUAUGGCAAGGAAGGGGGAUGGGGUUGGUAAAGGAAAUUUCUUUUUAUGAAUGAAUGUUCCCCCUAAAAAAAAGUGUUGCCCCCAGGAAAUAAUCACUUGAAAAUUUGAUGCAUUGUCUUUCAUACUCUUGGCUACACAAAAGAUCAUUGAAAUCAUUAUUAAAGCACUCUCAUUGUGGCAAGUUGUAUACCAUGCACAGCAGUAUCGAAUGCCCUUCUCUGUACACUGAAAAAUAGAUCUUGAGGUAGUGAUGUCACAUAUUGUGUGAUUUUUGUCAAGGAGACCCUGACUCAGACUAGGCUGCUUGUCAUUUUGUGAGGGUAGGGUUUGCCCCAUUGAAUCAAGAGGUCAUUAGCUGCUAUGGUAUCUUGUAUACUUGAAUGAAUCUUCUGGACUGCUGGUCAUUUUUUUUAUUGGCAAUUUUUUUUUUUUAUCUUUAAUAAAAGUUGUUGGAAAAUGAAAAUUCAUUGCUUUUCAGUUAUGCUUAUUCUGUCCACUGUCUAUAUCAUCCACUUACCUGCCCCCUCUUAAUCUA